This 248-nucleotide ribosomal RNA is filed under the name uncultured bacterium. RNAcentral describes it as "partial 16S ribosomal RNA". It matches the Rfam family "Bacterial small subunit ribosomal RNA", at positions 15 to 245 of the family's 1533-position model. The record is from RNAcentral.
GAUCCUGGCUCAGGAUGAACGCUGGCGGCGUGCUUAACACAUGCAAGUCGAACGAAGCACUUAAACCUGAUUCUUCGGAUGAAGGUUUUUGUGACUGAGUGGCGGACGGGUGAGUAACGCGUGGGUAACCUGCCUCAUACAGGGGGAUAACAGUUAGAAAUGACUGCUAAUACCGCAUAAGACCACGGAGCCGCAUGGCUCAGUGGGAAAAACUCCGGUGGUAUAAGAUGGACCCGCGUCUGAUUAGG